Molecule: ribosomal RNA, 246 nt
Filed under: uncultured bacterium
Lineage: Bacteria
Description: partial 16S ribosomal RNA
Rfam family: Bacterial small subunit ribosomal RNA
Source: RNAcentral
GAGCCGCGAACGGGUGAGUAACACGUGGGCAACCUACCCGUAGAGUGGGGGGAGUAACUAACCGAAAGGUUAGCUAAUACCGCAUGAAACGUGCUGUGGCAUCACAGAACGUUAAAAGGAGCAAUCCGCUUUAUGACGGGCCCGCGUCCGAUUAGCUAGUUGGUGGGGUAACGGCCUACCAAGGCUCCGAUCGGGUAGCUGGUUUGAGAGAGCGACCAGCCACACUGGGACUGAGAAACGGCCCAG